This 442-nucleotide long non-coding RNA is filed under the name Homo sapiens (human). RNAcentral's name for it is "HSALNT0311402". Lineage: Eukaryota; Metazoa; Chordata; Mammalia; Primates; Hominidae. The record is from RNAcentral.
GCCACUUCUGUUUCUCUUUUGAGUUGCUAUAAAGUACAGACGAUUCUACCAACCUUGACACAAACGCCCAGCUGCCCCCAGUUCAGUGCCACAGAGAAAAGCCUUGCAGAACAGGUUGAGUUUGUGGAUGGGCAUGGGGUAGAAGGUAUCAUCUCUUCUCUAUCAAUGACUUGGGUGAUACUUCUGGCAACAAAACAGACAGUUCUCGGCCUCUGUGUUUUCAUUGUCCAACUGAAGAUUAGACAAGAGGCAGCAUGGGGUGGUGGAUAAAUCGUGGACCAGGAUUGAAGCGAAGAUCUGCUCAUCUGGGACACUCACCAGUUAUGAAGACCAGAAAUCUAAAAUAAAGGUGUUGGCAAGACCAUGUCCUCUCUGCAGCCUCUUGGGAAGAAUCCUUCCUUGCCUCCUCCUCUUCUGGUGGUUCUCAUUAUUCCUUGGCUUA